AUUUAGGUGGCAGUGGCGAUAUCGUAAUCAAUGAAGUUUUACCGAGGUGCGAUUAUUGGUAGUUGAAAUCUGAAAAAAAAUGAAAACUAUUGCUUUGACAAAAAUGGAUUUAUUUAAAUUUUUUAGACCGUUUUCAGA
Molecule: small nuclear RNA, 138 nt
Organism: Toxorhynchites rutilus septentrionalis
Lineage: Eukaryota; Metazoa; Arthropoda; Insecta; Diptera; Culicidae
Product: U4 spliceosomal RNA
Exons: 1
Source: RefSeq, a predicted model, not a curated record